This 833-nucleotide ribosomal RNA is filed under the name uncultured bacterium. RNAcentral describes it as "bacterial SSU rRNA". It matches the Rfam family "Bacterial small subunit ribosomal RNA", at positions 43 to 916 of the family's 1533-position model. The record is from RNAcentral.
CAGGCCUAACACAUGCAAGUCGUACGAGGGUUUUUAAUUCAAGUGGCGGACGGGUGAGUAACACGUAAGAAUUUGCCUUUAGGAGGGGGACAACAACUGGAAACGGUUGCUAAUACCCCAUAUGCUUUCGAGUGAAAUGGAUUUUUCCGCCUAAAGAGAAGCUUGCGGCUGAUUAGCUUGUUGGUGAGGUAAUGGCUCACCAAGGCGACGAUCAGUAUCUGGUUUGAGAGGAUGAUCAGACACACUGGAACUGAGACACGGUCCAGACUCCUACGGGAGGCAGCAGUGGGGAAUUUUCCGCAAUGGGCGAAAGCCUGACGGAGCAAUCUCGCGUGAGGGAUGACGGCCUAUGGGUUGUAAACCUCUUUUUUCAGGGAGGACAAAUGGACGUGUACCUGAAGAAUAAGCAUCGGCUAACUCCGUGCCAGCAGCCGCGGUAAGACGGAGGAUGCAAGUGUUAUCCGGAAUCACUGGGCGUAAAGCGUCUGUAGGUGGUUUAAUAAGUCAACUGUUAAAUCUUGAAGCUCAACUUCAAAAUCGCAGUCGAAACUAUUAGACUAGAGUAUAGUAGGGGUAAAGGGAAUUUCCAGUGGAGCGGUGAAAUGCGUAGAGAUUGGAAAGAACACCGAUGGCGAAGGCACUUUACUGGGCUAUUACUGACACUCAGAGACGAAAGCUAGGGUAGCAAAUGGGAUUAGAUACCCCAGUAGUCCUAGCCGUAAACAAUGGAUACUAGAUGUUGAACAGAUCGACCUGUGCAGUAUAAAGCUAACGCGUUAAGUAUCCCGCCUGGGAAGUAUGCUCGCAAGAGUGAAACUCAAAGGAAUUGACGG